AUUGAACGCUGGCGGCAUGCUUUACACAUGCAAGUCGAACGGUAGAGGGGGCAACCCCUUGAGAGUGGCGAACGGGUGAGUAAUGCAUCGGAACGUGCCCAGUCGUGGGGGAUAACGCAGCGAAAGCUGUGCUAAUACCGCAUACGAUCUCUGGAUGAAAGCGGGGGACCGAAAGGCCUCGCGCGAUUGGAGCGGCCGAUGUCAGAUUAGGUAGUUGGUGGGGUAAAGGCCUACCAAGCCAACGAUCUGUAGCUGGGCUGAGAGGACGACCGGGCACACUGGGACUGAGACACGGCACAGACUCCUACGGGAGGCAGCAGUGGGGAAUUUUGGACAAUGGGCGCAAGCCUGAUCCAGCAAUGCCGCGUGCAGGAAGAAGGCCUUCGGGUUGUAAACUGCUUUUGUACGGAACGAAACGGUCUGGGUUAAUACCCUGGGCUAAUGACGGUACCGUAAGAAUAAGCACCGGCUAACUACGUGCCAGCCGCCGCCGUAA
RNAcentral lists this ribosomal RNA (496 nucleotides) under uncultured bacterium. RNAcentral's name for it is "partial 16S ribosomal RNA". It matches the Rfam family "Bacterial small subunit ribosomal RNA", at positions 29 to 523 of the family's 1533-position model. The record is from RNAcentral.